Molecule: unclassified non-coding RNA, 319 nt
Filed under: uncultured fungus
Lineage: Eukaryota; Fungi
Description: sequence contains ITS1
Rfam family: 5.8S ribosomal RNA (bases 1-100)
Source: RNAcentral
GAAGUGCGACAAGUGUCAUGACUUGCAGAUUCCCGAGAGCUGACAAAUUUCUGAAUGCAAAUGGCGGCCGCUAAUCCCGGCCAUGUAUUGCAGAGUGUAGUUGUUCCUACCCAUCAUCCCACAACAAUUCCUUGCUGGGUUGUUGUCUCGGGGACCUGCGCUUGCGACGUCUGCGCGAGCGUGAAAAGGAGGAGCGUCGGGUCAACCGACCCGACGACUUCGGAAACCUCCCUGAUCCCAGGGAAUGACCUGGAGUUAGUCUCCCAGAACCACUGUUCGACAGCCACCUCUGCGAUGCAGGAGAACCCGCUGAACUUAA